AAGCUCGUAGUUGAAUUUCGGGAUUGACGUGAUGGUCGUGCCUUAAGGGGUAUGAACUGUCGCGGUUGAUUUCUCACCUUCUGGAGAAGCAGGAUGUCCUUAAUUGGGUGCCAUGUGGAACCAGGACCUUUACCCUUGAAGAACUUAGAGUCGUUUACAGCAGGCAUUUUGCUCGAAUACAUUAGCAUGGAAUAAUGAUUAAUAGGGAUAGUUGGG
Molecule: ribosomal RNA, 216 nt
Filed under: Entrophospora sp.
Lineage: Eukaryota; Fungi; Glomeromycota; Glomeromycetes; Entrophosporales; Entrophosporaceae
Description: partial small subunit ribosomal RNA
Source: RNAcentral